This is an RNA transcript of Corticium candelabrum, 2089 nucleotides long. It is a transcript of the gene named A disintegrin and metalloproteinase with thrombospondin motifs 9-like, with no coding region annotated. The record is from RefSeq and is a predicted model, not a curated record. The transcript is spliced from 7 exons. Lineage: Eukaryota; Metazoa; Porifera; Homoscleromorpha; Homosclerophorida; Plakinidae.
ACCUCAAGUCACCUAAACAGGCAGCUCUAGGAAGACUGACACUGCACUUUGGCAGGGCAGCUGUUUGCGGUAUCGUAUCAAUGUUUCAUCGUACAAGUUGGUCGUUAAGAUAUGGGUAUGAUGCCCACAAAAUGGACUCUAGUGUUGGAGCUGGUUUGAGAUCGACUGGACACAAAGGUGACUAGCUAGACAUACCAACUCUGUAGUAUUGUGUUGCUACACUGACAGUGAUCGAUCUCUACAGAACAAAUCUGGUUGUGCGACAAUUCAUGCAGUGUCACGUGACCUUCAUCUGAUCAGUUUUCCCUUCUACCUUGCGAUCAUUAGUGGAAUUAAUCACAACCGAAACGAGCACUUUCGCUAAAGUUUCGAACGACACUCUUCAGAAGGUGUCAUGCCGUCACAAUGCAUGACGUAACUGAUCUCAGCGGAAGUGGGUGGUGUGAACGAUUCUUCUGUUGCGGUACAAAACGCGGGCGAAUUUGCUCUUGCCUCAGUUUCAGAAAGCAGGAAUGGUUAUGACGUGCAUUCUAGAAACUCUCCUGGUUUUUGUAGCCUGUCAACUGACGACUGUCGCCGUUCAAGGCGAGGAAGAAGGUGCGUCAUACAUCUGGAAAACUGGCGAAUUCUCGGCCUGUUCUCAAACGUGUGACGGACAGAGAGAACGCCGCGUCGUUUGCCAAGGCAGGAAGAGCGAUGGCUCGACGUUCGACGCUAAUUUGGAAGAUUGUAACCCACAAGUGAAACCAGUCAGUACCAAGUCGUGUGGUAGUGAAUGCCCAGAAUACGGCUGGCUCAAAGAGAAAUACGGGAAAUGCGACGCGACGUGUUCGACGAAUGACGGAAAGGGCAAUCGGACACGGCGCGUUUGGUGUUCGAAAAAGGUCGGAACGCACAGGAAAGUCACAAAAGAUGAACAUUGCAUCAUUGCUCUGAGGCAUCCGAAGCCGCCAUCUCGCAAGAGCUGUCACGUGAAGUGUAGCGUCAUCGUCGGUACUUGCAGGUAACUUAGAGUCCAUGAGUUCAACGUUUAUUCGCGUCUUUGAGUUUAUCUAUCUAGAUUUCAACUGGGACCGUACGGUCCAUGCACGCAAACGUGCGCCGGUGGCACACAGACCCGUUCCGUUUCCUGCAUUUGUAAUUACACCGACGGCCAAUUGAGAACGGUCCAAGGUAUUAAACGCUGUUUGCGAGAUAAUCCGGGAUCGAUCCCGAUCCACAAACGCUCGUGUGGUGCCAUUUGUCCGUCUUGGCACGUCGGUGAGUGGGCCAGUUGUCUGACUGCCAACGGACGGAAAAUCAGAAGACGACAAGUCGCCUGUCUGAACGGAACGACGCGAAUCGAUGAAACGAAUUGCCUCUCCGACGGUCGGAAGCCACGAACAAAAGAAAGCUGCGACCUACUCGUUCCUCCUCAGAUUGUCGUUUCUGUGACUAUACAUAAGGAGCCUUCGAUGUCAACGUUGAUGACGACUAGGGAGCCUUUGCAUUUAACAUUGAAGAACGAGACGUACCAAAUCUAUACUAUCGGAGACGAAAUCCGCGUUCUUGUUGGCACAGAUGUCGGUAUCGUUUGCGCAUUAGAACAGGAUGACCCGCCUGCUGAUAUCACGUGGUUGCUACCCGGCAAUUACCGCAUGCGUGACGGUGCUACCAGAAGAAGAAUCUCGUCUUCAGGCAACUCUUCGAUUACUUCAACUCUUCUGAUUAAAAAUGCCAACAAACAUAACAACGGCAACUACACUUGUAUUGCAGAGAAUGGAGCAGGUCAAACAAAUGCCACUUCAAGUCUAGUCGUAUACCAUAUACAAGUGCCGGGCGCGAGUGAGUGUCAUGACUUAUUACCAAAUGGUCUAUGUGAGCAUAUCAGUCUACGUUGUGACUCAGCGUUGGCAGAGAUUUGCUGUAAAUCUUGUGAGGAAGUUCAAGACUAGGGUAGUUGUCGUAACUAUAUCUAUGCAGGAUAGGACGCUUUUCUUGUUUCCUUUAAUAUUAGACUGUUUUCUGCUUAGUGAAAUGUUCUGUUAGAGAUGCCAUCGCAACUAAAUAGCAGCUAAACAAAUAUUCAAAGAGAUGCUUGUAUACUAUG